Molecule: ribosomal RNA, 491 nt
Filed under: uncultured bacterium
Lineage: Bacteria
Description: partial 16S ribosomal RNA
Rfam family: Bacterial small subunit ribosomal RNA
Source: RNAcentral
GAUGAACGCUGUCUACAGGCUUAACACAUGCAAGUCGAGGGGAAACGACGGGGAAGCUUGCUUCCCCGGGCGUCGACCGGCGCACGGGUGAGUAACGCGUAUCCAACCUGCCUCUGACUGAGGGAUAACCCGUCGAAAGUCGGCCUAAUACCUCAUGGCAUCGUCUGCGGGCAUCCAACGACGAUUAAAGAUUUCAUCGGUCAGGGAUGGGGAUGCGUCUGAUUAGCUUGUUGGCGGGGUAACGGCCCACCAAGGCUACGAUCAGUAGGGGUUCUGAGAGGAAGGUCCCCCACAUUGGAACUGAGACACGGUCCAAACUCCUACGGGAGGCAGCAGUGAGGAAUAUUGGUCAAUGGGCGGGAGCCUGAACCAGCCAAGUAGCGUGCAGGAUGACGGCCCUAUGGGUUGUAAACUGCUUUUAGGCGGGGAUAAAGUGAGGGACGUGUCCUUCAUUGCAGGUACCGCAUGAAUAAGGACCGGCUAAUUCCGUG